AUGCUCUUGCCAUUGGAUCCAUUAUAUGAUGAAUUGGUUCUCCCCGGCGAACCAGUCUUGCGCCAACCAUGCCUCAACCUGGAGUCUACCUCGAUCUCACCAAGUCGUUGGUUUUUUUUAAUCGCCUCUACCUCCUUAUCUCUAGCAUCUCCUUCGGUCCUCUCGUCGGGAUGUCCCAUGCUAGACACCACAGUGGGACUUCUAGGCACCCUUUUCUCACCAUCACCGUCAUCUUUUUCACUGCUGUUCAUCUUCAUAGAUGAGUACUCCAAUUUUCACUUUUGGGAGGAGCCUCAUUAUUCCUCGAUUUUCACUUCUCGUUGCCUUCCAACAGAUUGCAACAAAGUUGGUGUAUAA
RNAcentral lists this ribosomal RNA (357 nucleotides) under Triticum aestivum (bread wheat). RNAcentral's name for it is "partial small subunit ribosomal RNA". Lineage: Eukaryota; Viridiplantae; Streptophyta; Magnoliopsida; Poales; Poaceae. The record is from RNAcentral.